AGGACUAUUCUUUCAGGGAUCAUUUCUACAGUGUAUUACUAGACAAGUGCAUCGGAACAGCGUAGGGUACCAGAAAUGCCACUGACGAGCUGCUGUGCUCUCUCCUGAGCGUGAGGCUGGCAGGUGGCGCCACCUGGUGGUGGCUACUCCUGGCUAUUGAUCGAUCUUUUCCUCGUUUGGGAAGCACGGGAGAGAACACAAGCUGGGG
This is a small nucleolar RNA of Cynocephalus volans (Philippine flying lemur), 208 nucleotides long. RefSeq annotates it as small nucleolar RNA U3. The transcript has a single exon. The record is from RefSeq and is a predicted model, not a curated record. NCBI's taxonomy places the organism in Eukaryota, Metazoa, Chordata, Mammalia, Dermoptera, Cynocephalidae.